GGGGGUGUAGCUCAGGGGUAGAGCGUUUGACUGCAGAUCAAGAGGUCCCCGGCUCAAAUCCGGGUACCCCCU
Molecule: transfer RNA, 72 nt
Filed under: Tursiops truncatus (common bottlenose dolphin)
Lineage: Eukaryota; Metazoa; Chordata; Mammalia; Artiodactyla; Delphinidae
Also listed under: 1 other name
Description: tRNA-Cys (GCA) (tRNA-Cys-GCA-17-1)
Rfam family: tRNA
About the family: Transfer RNA (tRNA) molecules are approximately 80 nucleotides in length.
Source: Rfam by way of RNAcentral